UCACUCUCCUUUUUCCUAAUAUUUAUUUAUUUAUUUAGUUGUUGCUCACUAUUGCCACCUUAUUCUCUGCAUCUUCAUAUUAACCACACCUGAAUCUAUUUUUGAUGGAUUCAAAGGAAGGUGUUGAACUUCAAACUGAUGAAGCUUCAAUGAUGUCAGAUUCUUCUCUUCUUCAUCAUCAGUCCAGAAGACCUAGCCUCUCAUCUCUACAGAUACCAGCAAGGUCACUAGAAAGUGCAUUAGCUUCUUCUACUAAGACAGAUGGUCCUACAUUGUCAAGUCCAGGUUCCACUAGAGGACUUCCCCCAAGGCCACAUUCUACAAAAGUCAAGUCCUCUAUGAGAAAUUUACUUUCUGAUAGGAGCUUUAGGACAAAAACUUGUUCACAACAAGAUAUUGAAAAGACAGUUCUCAUUGUUCCUGAUUCUUUAUCAUCACACGGUCCUCUGGAUAAGCCUUCAACUUCAAGGUCCCUUUCACUUAAUAAGAUUUUGUUCCCUUCAUCAACAAAAGCUGCACAUUCAUUACCGGUUACUCCAAUUGCAAAUUCAGAUGCGGAGAAUGUAUACGGAAGACAUGUUGUGGGAAAUUCUGAUUUAAAUAAAAUGAAAGUGAAUAAGCAUAUGACUCGAUCACUUUCAGUUCCGGUUAAUGUCAAAGUCACUAAUUUAAGGCCUACAGAUGCUAGGUGUCUGGUUCGUGUAAUUUCAGCGAGACCACAUCCAACAACUACUGAUGGCAUUUCAACCCACAGUGAUUCAAUGCAAGACAUUGCCAUAGAAGAUGCUUCUGAGGAUAUUCCAGAAGAAGAAGCAGUCUGCAGGAUUUGUUUGGUGGAGCUCGGGGAAGGGGGAAAUACUCUACGGAUGGACUGCAGUUGUAAAGGUGAGCUUGCACUUGCUCACCAAGACUGUGCAGUAAAGUGGUUUAGUAUCAAAGGAAAUAAGACCUGUGAUGUCUGCAAGCAGGAUGUCCGAAACCUUCCAGUAACACUCUUGAAAAUUCCUAAUCCUCCAACCGUUGUUCGGCAUUCAUUGAUUUCACAACAGCAGAGAGAAGUAACUACUUACAGGAUCUGGCAGGAUGUACCAGUGCUUGUCUUGGUCAGCAUGCUUGCGUACUUUUGCUUUCUGGAGGAACUACUGGUUUCAGAUUUGGGCCCACGUGCUCUUGCCAUUUCAUUGCCUUUCUCCUGCAUUUUAGGCCUCCUUUCAUCUAUGAUCGCUUCAACCAUGGAGUGGUGAUUGGAACAAGACGUGUACCCUUUAGCAGGAGCUACAUAUGGGCUUAUGCUUGCUUCCAGUUUGCAUUUGUCAUCCUGUUUGCUCACGUAUUCUAUUCUAUACUUAAUGUCAAUGCGAUUUUCUCGGUUCUUCUUUCAACAUUCACUGGAUUUGGGAUUUCAAUCAGCAUGAAUUCUCUCCUCAUGGAAUAUAUUAGAUGGAAAACAAAUAGGCAGAUUCAAUCUUCAAAUCAAAAUAUUAUUUCAAGACAUCAGCAGCAGCAAGAACCUCAAAGACAACAACAUCAACUGCAAAGAUUGCAGCAAGAGCACCAAUGAAGAAUUUUGUCGAUUAUUUUAUUAUUUUUACUCAAUUUUCUAUGCUAAUAAGAUUGGCAUUCUAUUGAGGUGUGGACCAAAAUAUUUGAAUCCACCACGAGCAGCAGUAUGUAAACUGCAGACAUAGUCUAGGAAUGUUUUGUUAAAUAUAAAUAUAUAUAUAAAGAGUGUAGGUUUCAAUGAGCUUGUGCUUAUAAUGUAUGGCUCAUACUAUUUUUUAUCAUUAACUUUUUGCAUCGAGAUUUGUAUAAUAAAACAAUUUAAAAGUAAUUGACUAGUCCUUGAAAUCA
This is an RNA transcript of Cicer arietinum (chickpea), 1851 nucleotides long. RefSeq lists it as uncharacterized. The record is from RefSeq and is a predicted model, not a curated record. Lineage: Eukaryota; Viridiplantae; Streptophyta; Magnoliopsida; Fabales; Fabaceae.